This 1640-nucleotide small RNA is filed under the name Pongo abelii (Sumatran orangutan). Its description in RNAcentral is "processed transcript". Lineage: Eukaryota; Metazoa; Chordata; Mammalia; Primates; Hominidae. The record is from RNAcentral.
UUAUGGAGAGGAAAUAGUUGUGCAGUGAUUCCACACUGCAGUUAUCUAACUCGGCAGGGACCUCUGGGCAGUGAGUACUCACGGUACAGUCUCCACACCUCUAACCAUGUGCUCCUCUCCUUCCCAAGGAACCUGGAGACCAUCAUCUCAUUUCCUGGGGGAGAGAGCCUGCAUGGUUUUAUACUGGUGACUGCUUUGGUGGAGAAAGCAGCAGUGCCUGGGAUAAAGGCUCUUGUUCAGGCCACGAAUGCUAUCUUGCAGCCCAACCAGGAGGCCCUGCUCCAAGCCCUGCAGCAACUGAGACUGUCUAUUCAGGACAUCACCAAAACCUUAGGACAGAUGCACGAUGGAAAGACAACCCAGCAAUGCCUGCAGGGCUGAGAUAUGAAGGAGUUUCCCAAGAGCCCCUGAAAUACUCUGGCGGGAGUGCAGCUCAGAGCACAGUGCUUCAUGCCUUUGAUGAGUUCUUAGGCAUUAAUCAUAGCAAGGAAAGUGCUGACUUUCUGUACAGAAUGAGGGAUUACAUGCCUCCUUCCCAUAAGGCCUUCAUAGAAGACAUCCACUCAGCACCUUCCCUGAGGGACUACGUCCUGUCCUCUGGACAGGACCACUUGCUGACAGCUUAUAACCAGUGUGUGCAGGCCCUGGCAGAGCUGCGGAGCUAUCACAUCACCAUGGUCACCAAAUACCUCAUCACAGCUGCAGCCAAGGCAAAGCAUAGGAAGCCAAACCAUCUCCCAGGGCCUCCUCAGGCUUUAAAAGACAGGGGCACAGGUGGAACCGCAGUUAUGAGCUUCCUUAAGAGUGUCAGGGAUAAGACCUUGGAGUCAAUCCUUCACCCACGUGGUUAGGAGGCUGCCCUCUCCCCAGCAAUGCAGAGCCCCCAUGGAGGGCCGGUGGGCCUGGAGAAUGAGGGUCAGGGUUCUGCCUGGGAUCAUCCAGGAAGGAUCUCAGCCCUGUUCAUGUUUCUGCUCUACAGAGCACUAUAUUCUCCUUGUUGAGAGCUGUUGACUUCACCAAGGACAGUUGAUGUGGCCAAGCCUUUCCUUCCCUACCUGAUCACUGCUUAACAGCAAGUAUAAUGGAUACUUCCUCAUGCAGAACCCCCAGAGGACUGACUGUACGCCAUUCUCUUUGCCAAGUAAUGGAAAACCAAUCUAAAUUUCAAAAAUCAGAUAAAAUUGCCCGGGGAUACAUUACUUGUUGAUUUUCUUAAAAAAACAAAUUCACUUAACAAUUCAUUAAGUUCAUACUGAGCACUGCCUCCAAGAUUAGAAUAAGAAUUUCUGUGGUCCCAGACCAGCCCUCUUCUCCCUGAAUGUGUUGAGUUGGUGGCAGGAGGUUGGAAAUGCUCCAGUGGAGAUGGGAAGUAGAGGAUGCUGACAAUAAGGACUUGGAAGUCACUAGUUUGAAAAUGAGCAGUUAAUGAUACGGGAAUGGAUGAGACUUUCCACAUGGUACCUAGAUUUGCAAAUUCUAUUGUAAUGCCUUUAUUUUUAGAAGAAUUAUUCUCUCUUCUUACUCUGAAAAUCUGUAUUUGUAAAAUGAAUGAAUGGAUCCUAUAUAAGUAAAUAAGAAAACUGGGAAUAAGUAGUAAAUCGAUGUGUUUAGUGUGCAAAUAAAUGUAAAUACUUUUAUUG